Molecule: unclassified non-coding RNA, 337 nt
Filed under: uncultured fungus
Lineage: Eukaryota; Fungi
Description: partial contains small subunit ribosomal RNA, internal transcribed spacer 1, and 5.8S ribosomal RNA
Rfam family: Eukaryotic small subunit ribosomal RNA (bases 1-73)
Source: RNAcentral
ACAAACUUGGUCAUUUAGAGGAAGUAAAAGUCGUAACAAGGUUUCCGUAGGUGAACCUGCGGAAGGAUCAUUAACAAAUCCUUUUUUAUUGUGCUUGUGUAUCAUGUUGAUUGUUGAUUCAUGUGCAUUAUGAUGAGUGAUGCAUGUGUCUCCCUUCCAAUGAUCACACACACAUGUGUUCCAUGUGCACUUGUUUAUGCAUCUGCACAUUUGACAUUUCUGCUUUAUUUGUCUGAUUAUUAUCAUGCCAUUUGGUUGGGAUGAUAAAUAAUGUAUUAUGCAAAGAAUGACUUUUAACAAUGGAUCUCUAGGCUCUUGCAUCGAUGAAGAACGCAGC